Molecule: transfer RNA, 72 nt
Filed under: Acanthoscelides obtectus
Lineage: Eukaryota; Metazoa; Arthropoda; Insecta; Coleoptera; Chrysomelidae
Rfam family: tRNA
About the family: Transfer RNA (tRNA) molecules are approximately 80 nucleotides in length. Their secondary structure includes four short double-helical elements and three loops (D, anti-codon, and T loops). Further hydrogen bonds mediate the characteristic L-shaped molecular structure. tRNAs have two regions of fundamental functional importance: the anti-codon, which is responsible for specific mRNA codon recognition, and the 3' end, to which the tRNAs corresponding amino acid is attached (by aminoacyl-tRNA synthetases). tRNAs cope with the degeneracy of the genetic code in two manners: having more than one tRNA (with a specific anti-codon) for a particular amino acid; and 'wobble' base-pairing, i.e. permitting non-standard base-pairing at the 3rd anti-codon position.
Source: Rfam by way of RNAcentral
GCCGCUUUAGCUCAGUGGCUGAGCACUGGUCUUGUAAAACAGGGCUCGUGAGUUCAAUCCUCACAGGAGGCA